UACGGAGGGUGCAAGCGUUAUCCGGAUUUACUGGGUUUAAAGGGUGUGUAGGCGGGCUUUUAAGUCAGUGGUGAAAUCUCCGGGCUCAACCCGGAAACUGCCAUUGAUACUAUUAGUCUUGAAUUUUGUUGAGGUAGGCGGAAUAAGUCAUGUAGCGGUGAAAUGCAUAGAUAUGAACUUAGAACACCAAUUGCGAAGGCAGCUUGCUAAACAAAUAUUGACGCUGAGGCACGAAAGCGUGGGGAUCAAAACAGG
RNAcentral lists this ribosomal RNA (255 nucleotides) under uncultured bacterium. RNAcentral's name for it is "partial 16S ribosomal RNA". It matches the Rfam family "Bacterial small subunit ribosomal RNA", at positions 524 to 776 of the family's 1533-position model. The record is from RNAcentral.